Molecule: ribosomal RNA, 252 nt
Filed under: Thomasclavelia saccharogumia
Lineage: Bacteria; Bacillati; Bacillota; Erysipelotrichia; Erysipelotrichales; Coprobacillaceae
Also listed under: 1 other name
Description: [Clostridium] saccharogumia partial 16S ribosomal RNA
Rfam family: Bacterial small subunit ribosomal RNA
Source: RNAcentral
UACGUAGGUGGCGAGCGUUAUCCGGAAUUAUUGGGCGUAAAGAGGGAGCAGGCGGCAGCAAGGGUCUGUGGUGAAAGGCUGAAGCUUAACUUCAGUGUGCCAGAGAAACCGGGCAGCUAGAGUGCAGGAGAGGAUCGUGGAAUUCCAUGUGUAGCGGUGAAAUGCGUAGAUAUAUGGAGGAACACCAGUGGCGAAGGCGACGAUCUGGACUGCAACUGACGCUCAGUCCCGAAAGCGUGGGGAGCAAAUAGG